CAUCUUCAGAGUCUUCAAUUCUCAUAUCAAUGUGCCUUUUAGAGAAAUUUCGAAAGCAUAAUAGUAACAUCACCCCGCCAUGCCAAACAUAACCCUCCUCUAGAACCAUUAGAGUCAACAUUAAUGCUAUUAACAAAACCACAACUUCGUCGAACUCUUCCCAUCUGAGUCUUACUAAUCUUUGCAUCCAUAAAAAAGACCAUCUAGAGAUUAUAUAUCUUCAGCUUAUACCGAAGUUGUCGCACUGUUCGUGGAUUCCCC
RNAcentral lists this long non-coding RNA (261 nucleotides) under Gossypium barbadense (sea-island cotton). Its description in RNAcentral is "long non-coding RNA (GBAR_LNC012206)". Lineage: Eukaryota; Viridiplantae; Streptophyta; Magnoliopsida; Malvales; Malvaceae. The record is from RNAcentral.